This is a long non-coding RNA of Alligator sinensis (Chinese alligator), 618 nucleotides long. RefSeq lists it as uncharacterized. Lineage: Eukaryota; Metazoa; Chordata; Crocodylia; Alligatoridae. The record is from RefSeq and is a predicted model, not a curated record. The transcript has 3 exons.
CCGCAGCUACAGGGGAUGGCAGAAAGCCCGCCCCAAGCGAGCGGGGGCAGCACCAGGGGACGUGUGGCGGCGGCGAUGCAAGUACUGCCUUGCUGGUAGCCAAGCAGCUACUCCCCAUCCUAGGGACGAGAAGAUCCUGACAGGAACCAGGCUUGCCAGCGCUCAUCUGUGCACUCUUCUAACAGUUCUCAGGCUGCAGGCAGUGGCACAUCAAUCAGUUGUGCAUAGAUAAGUUCCCGGCCUCUACUAGUGCAAAGUAUUAAACCACUGAGAAGACAGAACUGAGGUCUCAGUGCAUAAGAAUCUUGAAUUGAAGACCCACAGAGAGAGAAUGUUGCAACAAAAGAUUGAAGGAUUACCAGUUAAUUUACAAGAUUUGCAGGAAGUCAGCCCUGUAGCCACAACUUGCAGAGUUCACUGAGAAUGUUUAUGUUGCUUUUCAGAGUUUUCUACCCUAUAAGCAAUUUGGAGCAAGUGCAUUACUCGUCUGUGUUUUGUAGACCGCUGUGGGAGAUUUGCAGGGCUACAGCGGCUAUUUCUGAUAACCCCAACUCUGUCUCACAUUGUUCGCUUCCCACCUUCCCCUCCUGCAUUUCUCGCUUCCAUGCUUCAGAAAGA